Molecule: non-coding RNA, 72 nt
Organism: Centaurea solstitialis (yellow star-thistle)
Lineage: Eukaryota; Viridiplantae; Streptophyta; Magnoliopsida; Asterales; Asteraceae
Source: the annotation of a GenBank genome assembly
GUGUCCAUAGUCUAAUGGAUAGGACAUAGGUCUUCCAAACCUUUGGCAUAGGAUCGAAUCCUACUAGACACA